This 1094-nucleotide unclassified non-coding RNA is filed under the name Bombus terrestris (buff-tailed bumblebee). RNAcentral describes it as "misc RNA ENSBTSG00005030048.1". The record is from RNAcentral. Lineage: Eukaryota; Metazoa; Arthropoda; Insecta; Hymenoptera; Apidae.
GAAGUCGAAAAUAUAGAAUAAAAAUUUUUCGUUUGAGGCUUUGUUUUCGAGAAGAUCGACUUUGAAUUUUCGCUCGGUACGCGUGCACUUUAUCACGUCUCGUUAUAACGGAUCUCACUGUAAAUCGUUGUCUCGAUUGACGUUAUGUUGAUAAACACUUCCAAUGUGUUAGAAAGUGUUCAUAGAAAUUUGAUUAGAAGAGCAGCAGUAUGUGUUCGGCAGAAUGGGCAACAUUUUCAGCAAUUUUUGUAAUAAUAAACUUUAUGAUUACUUCAUAUUAUUUCAUUAUGUAUUCCUAAUUUUCCGGUGAUUCUACGAGACAACGAUCUACAGUGAGAUCCGUUAUAAGGAGACGUGAUAAAGUGCGCGCGUACCGAGCGAAAAUUCAAAGUCGAUUUUCUCGAAAACAAAGCCUCAAACGAAAAAUUUUUAUUCUAUAUUUUCGACUUCUUUUUUUGCGUAGAAUCACCGCCUUUCCGCUUGUACCACCAGUUACCAACCACCCUGUAAAACUUAUAUUUAUAAUGAUGUUAUAUUUAAUAAAUUUGUUUUUAUGUUUUACAUCAUUUAUUGAAACGUUAUUCGUUGUUACAGCAGAACUUCACUUAUUGAAACGCAAUUUGGUUAGCGUUCGACUCAUUGAAUUCCUGUCGAUUGAAUUCGAUUAUCUGAAAAUGAACUGUACUAUAUGAAAGGAAAAUCAUAGUAGAGAGAAUUGGUGAGCUCCUAUUCUAUAUAAAUCGAUAACCUCGGAAUUUUACCAUACUAAAAAUAUACAAAAAUUUUCUUUCUUUACAAUCACUGACAAUUAAUAUAUCUAGCUUUAUUACAGGUAUAAAGAAAUACAAUCAUACGUCUACAACUAUUAAUACGUUGAAAAACACGCAAGUUUCACAGGGAUGCCCCGUGACGCCACGAUGAAUUUUUUAUUAUGCGAUACAUAUAAUGUUGAAAUAUUACCCACAAGAGAUGUGUUACGGUGUAUAACCAUCAUUAAUGAAUUUAUUUUUAUAAUAUUACUUUUUGCAAUUAUCAAUUAUCUCAUAUUGUUUCUUCGCAUUGCUAAAUAAUUGUUCUAUGUUGUUACGUCCCGG